Pistacia vera is the source of this 1060-nucleotide long non-coding RNA. RefSeq lists it as uncharacterized. The transcript is spliced from 5 exons. NCBI's taxonomy places the organism in Eukaryota, Viridiplantae, Streptophyta, Magnoliopsida, Sapindales, Anacardiaceae. The record is from RefSeq and is a predicted model, not a curated record.
GAAUUGUUUUGUCUCCAAAAACCUAAUACCCAUUAACCCAAAAUUUUCGUCCCAAAAUUUUCGUCCCAAAAUGUCCCAAAGUUUUCGUCCCCAGAAACCUAACAUCCAUUAACCCGAAACUUUUGCCCCAAAAUGUCAUCUUCUUCAACUCUUCUUCUCUCAAUUAAGAUUUUCGCAAUCUUCACUCAAAUUUCCUCCAAAAUCGAUGGCUAGAUCCCUCUUUCUCUCUCUAAACAAAUCCAUCUCCACCGUCAUCUCCAGCCCCGCCACAAGUGUCACCUCCUUCCCCUCAGCCCAUCGUCUCACCUCGUAUCUCUCCGCGCUCAAUCCAACCAAACCGACCUCUCCGACCUUUCCACUUCUUCCGACUCCACCAUCGACCCUUUGCACUCGACUUCAUUAUCGAUGCAAUAUGGAUUUCAUAUCACCUAUUGGGCUCUGCUAAAUGUUUUAGGAGCUAUUGCUUUGGGCGCACCUGUGGGCAUUCAGUAUGUGAAGUAACGGUAGAUAAAAAUUUGUGCCUUUUUUUUUGGAUAUAAAAUGUCAUAAAUGUUAUGUGAAAGAAGUUUUCGUUCAAUUUCUUUAGGUGGUUGGAAUACAGCUGAAUCCUCAGUUUAUGGGCAUUGAUCUCAGAUGAGCGUGGCAGGAGCCAGAAAAGCUGGUCAAAGUCAAUAUGGGUGGUUGAAGGAAGCAUUGGAUAGAUUAGUAGAGCAACUAACGUCGCAACGACAACAACUUGAUGAGGAAUAACUGGUAAAUCAUUCUUUGAAGCUAAUCAAGAAAAUCUGAAUUGUUAAUAAAAUGUUGUUGAAGACAAAGAGAUUGCAUUUAGGGCAGAUAAACUUGAGAUCGAAGUAGUAGGGAUGGAAGCAAACAAGAAACUAUGACAGCAUUGAAGAUUUUGGGCUAUAGGAAAGAACAAAGAUGUUUGCAAUUUUGUUUCUUGUUUCACUCUUUUGGGAUUGGAAUCCUGAAACUUACUUUGAAGAUUCUGUGGUAGUGGUUAAGUAGGAAUUGUAAUGUUGACAGUUUUUGUUAAUAAAGAAGGGCAAUUUGAUUU